UGGGGAAUAUUGCACAAUGGGCGGAAGCCUGAUGCAGCGACGCCGCGUGAGGGAUGACGGCCUUCGGGUUGUAAACCUCUUUCGACCCUGACGAAGCGGAAGUGACGGUAGGGGGAGAAGAAGCGCCGGCCAACUACGUGCCAGCAGCCGCGGUAAGACGUAGGGCGCGAGCGUUGUCCGGAUUUAUUGGGCGUAAAGAGCUCGUAGGCGGCUUGUUGCGUCGACUGUGAAAUCCCGCGGCUUAACCGCGGGCUUGCAGUUGAUACGGGCGGGCUAGAGUUCGGUAGGGGAGACUGGAAUUCCUGGUGUAGCGGUGAAAUGCGCAGAUAUCAGGAGGAACACCGGUGGCGAAGGCGGGUCUCUGGGCCGAUACUGACGCUGAGGAGCGAAAGCGUGGGGAGCGAA
This 405-nucleotide ribosomal RNA is filed under the name uncultured bacterium. RNAcentral describes it as "bacterial SSU rRNA". It matches the Rfam family "Bacterial small subunit ribosomal RNA", at positions 355 to 772 of the family's 1533-position model. The record is from RNAcentral.